Molecule: long non-coding RNA, 193 nt
Organism: Amblyraja radiata (thorny skate)
Lineage: Eukaryota; Metazoa; Chordata; Chondrichthyes; Rajiformes; Rajidae
Exons: 3
Source: RefSeq, a predicted model, not a curated record
CAGUUUCAGCGAAUGGGAAUGCGUUUUCAAACAGGAAGUGGAGGAUUAAAAUGGCUUCGGAAGAGCAGGUCGAGAGUUUAACCGAGGAGGCAGUUUGUCCCAUCUGCCUGGAUUUCUUCACCGAUCCGGUUAUACUGGAGUGCGGGCACAACUUCUGCCGCUCCUGUAUCACACAGAGAGAUCGGAAGAGGGU